Molecule: ribosomal RNA, 374 nt
Filed under: uncultured organism
Description: partial 16S ribosomal RNA
Rfam family: Bacterial small subunit ribosomal RNA
Source: RNAcentral
GUAGGUGGGCAAGCGUUGUCCGGAAUAUUGGGCGUAAAGCGCGCGCAGGGCGGUCCUUUAAGUCUGAUGUGAAAGCCCACGGCUCAACCGUGGAGGGUCAUUGGAAACUGGGGGGACUUGAGUACAGAAGAGGAAAGCGGAAUUCCAAGUGUAGCGGUGAAAUGCGUAGGGAUUUGGAGGAACACCAGUGGCGAAGGCGGCUUUCUGGUCUGUAACUGACGCUGAGGCGCGAAAGCGUGGGGAGCAAACAGGAUUAGAUACCCUGGUAGUCCACGCCGUAAACGAUGAGUGCUAAGUGUUAGGGGGUUUCCGCCCCUUAGUGCUGCAGCUAACGCAUUAAGCACUCCGCCUGGGGAGUACGGCCGCAAAGGCUG